UAAGACGUAGGGUCCAAGCGUUGUCCGGAUUUACUGGGCGUAAAGAGCGCGUAGGCGGCUUGAUAAGUGUGAUGUGAAAUCUCCAGGGCUUAACCCGGAAACUGCACCGCAGACUGUCAGGCUUGAGGAAUGCAGAGGUAACUGGAAUUCCUGGUGUAGCGGUGAAAUGCGUUGAUAUCAGGAGGAACACCCAUGGCGAAGGCAGGUUACUGGGCAUUAUCUGACGCUGAGGCGCGAAAGCGUGGGUAGCAAACAGGAUUAGAUACCCUGGUAGUCCACGCCCUAAACGAUGGAUACUAGGCGUAAGAGGUAUCGACCCCUCUUGUGCCGCAGCUAACGCACUAAGUAUCCCGCCUGGGGAGUACGGCCGCAAGGUUG
Molecule: ribosomal RNA, 378 nt
Filed under: uncultured bacterium
Lineage: Bacteria
Description: bacterial SSU rRNA
Rfam family: Bacterial small subunit ribosomal RNA
Source: RNAcentral